UACUGUGCUAUUUCUAUUUCUAUUCACAGAGAUAUCAAAAAGGUCACAGUUCAAUUUUCAUAUCAGACUCCCAUCAAAAACAAAGCAUAUAAUACAGAAGCUGUUAGUAAGAAAGCAAUAGACAAGGCACACAGACAUAAAAAGAAAACCUUGAGCACAAAGUUUUUGGCUUAAGAAUUAUCAAAGUUGAAUCUUGCACUUCUGUGAUAUUUUCACUAAGGCAUCUCGGAAACUUUUGUGGCACAGAGGAUAGAUAAUGGGAUUCACUGAAGAGUUAAUCCACAACAUCCAGCUUGUAACUUGGUUCCAAUAAGAUUCAACACAGUCAUCGUGACAAGUGGCACGGAUAGUCUGGAGAAAUGUGUAUGGUGCCCAACAGAUCCCAAAUACACAUACCAGAACUGUUCCAGUAGAUACUGAGGUUAAAAUAAGAAAUGCUUGUUAAUGGCAGAAAAAAGUCAAAGGUUGAUGCUCCAAGAAGAAAGUACCAGCUGUAAUAAUAUCCAGCAACACACAUGCCUUCAGGAAUCAGGGGAUCACCAUUCAGAUAUUCCCAAAAUAUAAUGGCUGGGCUGUAAAGAAGGAAGGACAGUACCCAAACUGCAGUCAUCUUAGCAGCAGUCUGACUGUGGUUGGUCUGCUGAGAACGAUACAUCACCUACCCAGUAUGAGAAUAAAGAAAUCAGACUGUUAGCUUUAACUUAUAAAGUAAUUCUCCUAAUAAAUAAUAUGUAUUUUUAAUAGAGAUGUGCAGGUUCGGAUUUACACGGAUUUACUCCCAUCUCAAAACAGCAUCUUAUUAGCUAUCCGGCUGUCACGUGUUUUGGAUAACCAAUAAGAAAAAUACUGAUACUGUAAAUCCAAACUUGAGCUAAUUUGGCGUUAAGAACUGAGUAAAUCUGAACCUGUACAUCUCUAAUUUUUAUAAAUAUUUGGUCAACAUAUGUGACGAAUGCCUUCAACAAAAUCUCAUGUUAACAUUAUUUUAUAUGGCUAAGAAUAUGUAAAGAAAAAUCUACUGCAAAGCUACUGCAUAUACCUGGCCCGAACUGGUCAUUUGACAAAUGCCAGAAGGACCGAUGGUCUGUUGGGCUGGUCCGGCCACAGGUGAGGCCCCCCUGACGGAUGGCAGGCCCCCGUGAGCCAUGGCCAUGCCCUCUGUUUGUGCACGCUCCCCACUCUUCAUGGCGCUCACACUGACAUGCUAGGGCUGUGAAGUAGCCAUAGUCCGUUCCUGGUAUACACACACCAUGAACUUUCCUAUUGUGAAGAAUAUCAGUCCGUACAGUAUACACUUACAUUUCAGGUAUUCAUUUAUAAAUCCAGUCUAAUCCAGGCACAAACUGACUUUAUACAGAGUGGGGUGUAAUAAAGAGGGUGACAGCCCAUGCUCUAUUGCAUUGUAAUGCAGUUGCAGAGGAUAGAGUUGGUGGGGUAUGCAGCCAUUAUGCCGACAUUCAGAAUGUUGACAUGGACAUAAUGUCAACAUAAUAAUGUCGACACUGAAUGGCAACAUGCACAAUGUCGAAAGUACAUGUUAGUGUUAUGUUUAAGAAUCGGGUCAAGGUUAGGUUUAGGGUUAAGGUUAGGCUGCAGAUAGAGUCAGGGCUCUAACUGCAGCCUAAACGCCCUAAACACCCUAAAAAUGCUAUGUCAACAUGCCAACGGUCAACAAGCACAGUGUUGACAUUAUGACCAUGUUGACAUUGUGAAUAUCGAUGUAUCCUGUGUUGACAUAGGUUCAUGUCAUUUUGUACCACACCCGCUGGUGGUAAACUACAGUAAUGUGGUCGGAAGUAUAAAAAAGUAAGCACUGUAAUGUAAAUUCCCAGCCUCAUACAUAUAAAAACAGCAUUCAGCACUCUCUUCAGUAGUACUUAAUAUAGUGUAGCUAGAAAAAUGUCAGUGAUUGAAAUAUGAAGUCUCCUAAACACAGCAGUGACACCUGGCUCAGCUGGUCACAUUCACACUAACAGCUACUGUAGUAAAUGUUUCCAGGGUGGGAAAGAACAUGCAUAAGACGGGGUGUGAAUGGAGUAGUACACGAUACGUACAGCAAGAGUGAUAGAAAGGAAUCGGUCAUAACUGAUGAGGACAAUAUUAAACACUGAAGCAGUGCACAUGAGGUUGUCAGCUAUUAGCCACACUUUGCAGAGAAAGUGCCCAAGCGUCCACUUGCCAGUCACAAUGUAUGUGGCACUCACUGGUAUACAGAAUGCACCUUAUGAACGUAAAAGAGGAAAUUAGUAUAUUACUAGUAUUAUAAUAGCUUACCUUUAUAUAACAAUUAGGCUUAAUGAAUGGCAUGCAAAACGAAAGGUACAGUAUUUAAAGAGACAUCAUUUUAUUUCUCUAGUGAAUUUUAAAUCUCUGACACUGUCUAGCUAAUAUAUUCUUAUUUUAUUGAUUCAGAAUUGUUGUGAUUCAGAGUUGCACACAAAGCGGAUAUCCACUUGUAUUCAGAGUCGGCUACAUAUAUGUGACCAGUGGUGCUCAGAAAGGGUCGAUUACACUCAACAUCCCACUCCUCCCUAUCCUGACCACCAACCAGUGCCCACCCUAUGCGGUGUGCUAUUUUUUACAUUUUUGCACAAAGGGGGCCUGCCUACACCUCCCCAAGUUGGCCACACACCCUCACAGUACCCGGGCACUGUCACAUAAAUCUAAAUAUGCAAUAUACACAUUUUGAUGAUAAUGUUAAACAUACAGUUCCUGAUUCAGAACUGCAUGUCAAUUCGGCCACAUUGUGUGUUUGGAAAUAAAUGUUCAUAUUUGCUUAUAUACAGAGUUGGCCGUAUAUAUGCCUACCAUCACUCUAUCGGCACGUAUUGCACCAGCACUGUGCCUGGUGCAAGAGAUCCAUCUGAAAUCAGAUUGAUCUGUGUGUUCACUGAACUCUGAAAAGCCCCCAAUUCUGCCUGCACACCGACAUACACUAGGAACACUUACCCUAUGUAUAAAUGUCCAAUUAAUGCCAAUCAGUGCAAGUGGAGAUGUGGCUGAGAGGCGUACAACUCUGAUUCGCACACAUUGCACAAAGUGCUUGGCUCGGACACACGUGCAGUGUCAAAAAUCACAAGCUCCAUCUGCAUACAGGACAUCUGCGCAACUGUGAAUCAGAUCCACAAUGUUUCCUGCUAUUUUUGCAAUCUUUCUGUUGUUCGACAUACCAUUAAAUGAUGAUGGUUUAUUUUAAAUAAAAAAUGGUAGUAUUAUUAUUAUUAUUAUUAUUAUUAUUAUUAACAGAGAACCAGCUGCUUUUAUUGGUUUAUUCUAAGCCAAAUAAAAUGUCAACGUUAAAAAGACCUCAGUGACUGUAUAAAACCUUUUAAGUGGAUGGGGGAAGCAUUGAGUGACACAUGUAUUUCUGGCUAGACUAUUGUCCAUGCUACACUCACCCCUUAUCUGUAAUCGUGAUCUAUAUAUCUGUCUCACAGGCACUUCUCACAGGCACUUUCAGAUUUAAAUAGUAAUAGAAGCCAAUAAACUUACCGAUGAAUAAAUCACAGAUGGCCAGAUUGAGGAGGAAGAAGUUACUCUGGUUUCUAAGUCUUUUGUCAAUAAUAAAAGCUAAAAUAACAACAGUAUUGCCAAAAACAGUCACAGUGGUUAUCAGAGGUAUGAAGAUGUAUAGGAAAAUCAGCGUGCCCUCAGAGAAAUCAGAUUCCUUGUCAUACUCAGAAGAAUUGCUUUCACUAAUGUUUCCAAAAUAGAUUUCUUCCAUUGUGAAAUGUACAGUGCUGCAUACAUGAGCAUGCUUGUAUACUAUGUAUUGCUGAAUUAGGAACAAUAUAACUUUUUAAUAGGAUUAGACCCAAUUUGCAGGAUCUUUAAUAUUUUAGAAGAACCGCAAGAUACAUUAUUGUACUAUUUGUCCUUGCAAAAUUCAAGUUCUAGUUCUAUGCAGGUAAAAGCUGCUCUGUUAACAACUCACAGUGCAAUGGAAUAUGAUCAGUGCCCUGUUAAGCUGCAUCAUUUUAUAGCCUAACAUUAUUGUGGAUUGGAACCGUGUGGGCUUCAUGAUGUCACAAAACAGCAUUGACUAUAAUUCUUUAUUUUGCUUAUGUUGUUACCAUAGUGUAUAAAUGUGAAAAAAAAGAAUAUUAUUUGCAGAGUUAUGUAUAUUGACCUAUUAUUUCCCUUGUGCAAUUUAUAGUCCCAUUUCGUUCAUUAUUAUAAUUAUAGUCCCAGUGAUGAUUUAUACAGUGUGCCUGCGGUGAAAUGAUGUAUGCUUGGCAGUUUGGUCCAUUUAGCUCAUUAAAGCCAAGCAAGACAUGGCAAUAACUGAAAAAGAGUAAGGGGAAUAGUUAUUAUAAAAUGCAGCAAACCCCUGAAUACUAGUAAUCCUUAUCGCCGCCUAUCGUGACAAUAAGGUUUCUUUAUUUUCUUGACUGUUCAUAAUAUAAAUUGCCAGGACAUAGCUAGCAGCCUGUCCCGGUGUCCACCAAAUGACCCCCUUGUAGCUACCACGCAUGCGCAGCUUUCAAGGGAUGCCCGUGCAGUUUGGUAAUGAACCAUGAUGCUCAGCAGGAUCUAAUGGACAUGAUGCACAGCUGGGGAUAAUGUAGCCCACUGGCAGGUUCCUCAGUGCAGACAGUUCUUUAGAUGGUGUUAGCCCAUGCAGGCAGGAUCCACAAAGCUAUGGGGACGGCUGCUGCGAGGGCUAGCGUAUGAAAAGCGCCCUGACACUCAUGUGUCAGGGGGCAGGCAGAUAGCUAGCAAUGGACGCUGGUUGGCGCUGGAAUCUGGGGGGCAGGCUGAUCCAUCACUGCUGUCCUGUGCUACAGUGCUUCACCCCGGUGG
Long non-coding RNA from Pseudophryne corroboree (corroboree frog), 4803 nucleotides. RefSeq lists it as uncharacterized. The record is from RefSeq and is a predicted model, not a curated record. NCBI's taxonomy places the organism in Eukaryota, Metazoa, Chordata, Amphibia, Anura, Myobatrachidae. The transcript is spliced from 4 exons.